UCUCAUUUUACAUUUUGACCAUGGAACACUGUCAGCUCUGCAAUAAUCACUGAAAGAGUGUCUCCUCCAAAUAAAUCCAGUGAUGGGAACAACAGUAAUAUUUCUGCAAAUAUGGGCAAUGGUGAACAAAGGAGGAUUCAAAAAGACCAAAGGACACUACAGCUCAACCCGGCUUCCUAACAGGAACAGUUGCAAUAUGACUAUGAGGAAGAAAUCAAGAUGCUCCAUGCAAUGGCUUCAUAGUAGUAAAGAAAUCUCGUGGAACUAAACAUGUCCUUCUUUGGUACAGAUGACACAAGACUGCAUUGCCAAUGCCUUGAUCUUCACACAGUAUCUUAGUAAGGGACAAGUUUAAAUAAGCCCUAAUACUUUGUUAACACUGUUGUACCUGUACAACAAGUAUCUUGCUUUCAAUUCUGCACACUGCUCCCAUGGAUUUCACAUAAGUUAUUGUAUUAUAAUGUUGAAAAAGAGAAAAAAAGGGAAAAAAAAUCAAGAACUUUCUAUGGAGAUUUUAUAAUGUGACUUGUCACAAGACAAUUGACAAAUAAAUAUUUGUGGGCUUUUCCAGCAGGUAAAACAUCUCUGUAUUGGAAAACAAAUGUGAUGCCAAACUAUCUAGAUCAUGCUUUAUUAUCAUGAGAUAAUCCCUGAUGAAAAUAAUACAAGUUCACUGUUUUCUGCCUUAAUGCUUUCUUGAAUGUAAGAGUGCCAUCAGAAACAGAAGGAACAUGGAGAGGAGACAGGGAAAACAGAAGACAAUAUGGUGAUAGUUUGAGAACAGAACAGCUCCUACUCUAAAAUGGCCAGUGACAUGUCAGAUCCAGGGAUUACAUUUCCAAUUAUUUCAGACACUUCGGGGGGAAAAAUGAAUAUGGUUGUUGUAGGAGCCAUAGGACUUUUCUUCAUGUAGCAAAAAAAUCAAGCUAAGCAAGAGUAUAAUAGAACUAUUUGAGAACAAGAUUGUCCAUGUGAAUGAGGAAGCCAUUCUUGAAGACCUAUACCUACAGAGAAGCUUUCAAAGAUCGCAGUCCAUUUCCUUCUCCAUAGUGACCUCAGCUGACUUUUCACAAUGUCUGUCUUCAUGAGCAAAGAACCUUUUAGUACUAUUAAUGCAGUAUAACCAACAUAGUAUAACCAAGUCAUAACCAACAGCAGGAAACAGAAAUUGAAGAUAGGAAAAAAUUAAAUAAGUUUACAUCUAGAGUGACUCUUCCUUAGCACAGAUUAAGCAGAAAAAGGAGACAGACAAGAUCCAGUGAAGUUCUCAUUAGACACAUGGAAAUAUUUCUCCCUAUGAAGGGUGGUCAAACACUAGAGCAGACUACCCUGAAAAUUAGUGGGAUCUCCACUCCUGGAGAUUUUUAAAACUCAAUAGAAAAGUCUUCUGUAACCUGAUCUGACUUUGAAGUUACUCCUCCUUUGAGCAACAAGUAAGUUAAAGCCUUUAAAGUUCUAUUUCAACUAAAACUAUUCCAAAAUGUUGUGAUGAUCUCUCAGCCUUUCUUAUCCUCACAUCAAAAGCAUAUGCAGUUCUAGAAGUGUUACAUUAACCAAGUAAAAGUAACACGUGAACAGAAACAAACUAUGGCAUAAAAUGAACACAGUUAAGUGUGACAGGAGGACAGAGCAAGUGAGUCAUCAGGAAUAUGUACAAAGAUGUAUAUACAUACAUUUUGUAUUUACAUACAUUUCCAUAUAUUUUGUAUUUGCAUACAAAAUUACUAACUUGGCCAACAAAAUAGAAUGUAAAAACUUGAUCAGCAACACAGAAACAAGUUUUCUGUGAUUUGCAUGACAGACUACGCAUUUAUGUCACCCCUUCCAGUGUCAACAAAGUUGAAGAUAUUGCAGUACAGUAUUGUAGUUCACAGCUACACUUACAUCCAGUUGGUUUCCCUACAUACUUCAAAUAAAAGAAUGAAC
Molecule: long non-coding RNA, 1926 nt
Organism: Colius striatus (speckled mousebird)
Lineage: Eukaryota; Metazoa; Chordata; Aves; Coliiformes; Coliidae
Exons: 3
Source: RefSeq, a predicted model, not a curated record